AGUCCUAUGGUCUAGUGGUAUGACGCUUCCUUCACACAGUUCGCUCUGUCUGAGGAUUCGGAAGAGGUCCUGGGUUCGAUCCCCAGUGGGACUA
Molecule: non-coding RNA, 94 nt
Organism: Aplosporella prunicola CBS 121167
Lineage: Eukaryota; Fungi; Ascomycota; Dothideomycetes; Botryosphaeriales; Aplosporellaceae
Source: the annotation of a RefSeq genome assembly